UGAUGACCAUAGCGAGUCGGUACCACCCCUUCCCAUCCCGAACAGGACCGUGAAACGACUCCACGCCGAUGAUAGUGCGGAUCACCCGUGUGAAAGUAGGUAAUCGUCAGGCU
Molecule: ribosomal RNA, 113 nt
Filed under: Candidatus Burkholderia verschuerenii
Lineage: Bacteria; Pseudomonadati; Pseudomonadota; Betaproteobacteria; Burkholderiales; Burkholderiaceae
Also listed under: 4 other names
Source: RNAcentral